Molecule: ribosomal RNA, 253 nt
Filed under: uncultured bacterium
Lineage: Bacteria
Description: partial 16S ribosomal RNA
Rfam family: Bacterial small subunit ribosomal RNA
Source: RNAcentral
UACGAAGGGGGCUAGCGUUGCUCGGAAUCACUGGGCGUAAAGCGCACGUAGGCGGACUCUUAAGUCGGUGGUGAAAUCCUGGAGCUCAACUCCAGAACUGCCUUCGAUACUGAGAGUCUUGAGUCCGGGAGAGGUGAGUAGAACUGCGAGUGUAGAGGUGAAAUUCAUAGAUAUUCGCAAGAACACCAGUGGCGAAGGCGGCUCACUGGCCCGGUACUGACGCUGAGGUGCGAAAGCGUGGGGAGCAAACAGG